UAACCGUAAGUGAACCUGCGGAAGGAUCAUUCAUAACAGGCCCAGUAUGGGGGCCCUUUUAAAUUUCCAUAUUCACCUUGUGUGCAAUGUUUUUAAUUAUAUUUUUUAAACGCUUAAAAUUUUUUUUUUUAAAUUGUCUGAAAUAAAUAUUGUGAAUUUUUUUAAUUCAAAAUACAACUUUCAACAACGGAUCUCUUGGCUCUC
RNAcentral lists this unclassified non-coding RNA (204 nucleotides) under soil metagenome. Its description in RNAcentral is "partial contains small subunit ribosomal RNA, internal transcribed spacer 1, and 5.8S ribosomal RNA". The record is from RNAcentral.